Molecule: ribosomal RNA, 399 nt
Filed under: uncultured bacterium
Lineage: Bacteria
Description: bacterial SSU rRNA
Rfam family: Bacterial small subunit ribosomal RNA
Source: RNAcentral
GGGAUAUUGCACAAUGGGGGAAACCCUGAUGCAGCGACGCCGCGUGAGCGAAGAAGUAUUUCGGUAUGUAAAGCUCUAUCAGCAGGGAAGAAAAUGACGGUACCUGACUAAGAAGCUCCGGCUAAAUACGUGCCAGCAGCCGCGGUAAUACGUAUGGAGCAAGCGUUAUCCGGAUUUACUGGGUGUAAAGGGAGCGUAGACGGUUUGCCAAGUCUGAUGUGAAAGGUGUGGGCUCAACCCGCAAACUGCAUUGGAAACUGGUGUACUUGAGUGUCGGAGAGGUAAGUGGAAUUCCUAGUGUAGCGGUGAAAUGCGUAGAUAUUAGGAGGAACACCAGCGGCGAAGGCGGCUUACUGGACGAUAACUGACGUUGAGGCUCGAAAGCGUGGGGAGCAAACA